MicroRNA precursor from Nicotiana attenuata, 97 nucleotides. It matches the Rfam family "MIR6152 microRNA precursor family". The record is from Rfam. Lineage: Eukaryota; Viridiplantae; Streptophyta; Magnoliopsida; Solanales; Solanaceae.
UGGACAGAUUAUUGUAUUCGACUGUAUUCACGGCGUGAAAUAGGGGAUUACACUAUUUUUAAAACGGAAAGUGAAUCAAUUAACAUAAUAGACUCCG